GUAUCUCUGUUUAUUUGCUGCCUGUUCUGACAGCCCUCCUUCAUGCACAAAAAGUUGACAGAUUUCAAGCCGGAGCCCAUCGUAUUGACUCGUAACACUUCAACAGCCAGACAUGAACAUUAUCAAACUCUAGAAGAUAUUGCCAUUCUUGACAAUGCUUGAAACGAAUUAAAGAUGUUUGCACCAAGUACUACAUAGGUCUUUAUCAAAAUGCAUCUUCUGAAAAUAAGUCAUUUAAGUACCCACUAGCACCACAGUAUUCAGUGUUUUAUUAUAACAUGCAUGACAAUCUUUCCAUGUAACCUGUCUACAGCAGGGUCAUCUCCAUGGUUGUUUAACCUUUGUAUAUUAGGAGGAGAAUCUAAAACUGGCAUAAAAAACAGCAAAGAGCAAUUAUCAACAAUGCAAGGAGGAUAUACCCUGAAUUAGUAUAUGACCAGGCAAUAGUGGUGCUUCCAAAUACAAAAAAAUUGAUGAUGGUUUGUCAUCCGUUUGACUGUUUACUCUCUGCAUACCGAGACAAGUUAAAGAAUGUAAACAUUGGGAGGGAACAUGGUAUUUAAUCAAUACUGAUUUACUGAAUUAUGCUGAUGAUCAUUGGAUUCCAUACAACAUGUUUAGCACUCGUUGAGUACAAUUAUAUUAAUAAGGUUGAGACGAUGUACCGGGACCAAAUGUUUGUAAUAAAGGAUGCUCAGUUAGGCGAUAAAAUCAAGCCAUCCUGGAUCCACAAGACGUCUCCUUUGGAAGUUUCCAAAGAACAUAUUACAAAAUUGUAUUUCUCACAGCUGAUCAGAAAACAAAUAAAAGAACUGUACAAGAAGUACAAAUUAGAUUUUGAAAUGUUUGAUUAUUCACCGGAUAAAUAUUAUUUAUAUGCAGUCAUAAUUAGUAUGGUAAUUGCCCUGUAA
Long non-coding RNA from Cimex lectularius (bed bug), 911 nucleotides. RefSeq lists it as uncharacterized. Lineage: Eukaryota; Metazoa; Arthropoda; Insecta; Hemiptera; Cimicidae. The transcript is spliced from 5 exons. The record is from RefSeq and is a predicted model, not a curated record.